AGAGUUUGAUCCUGGCUCAGAACGAACGCUGGCGGCAGGCUUAACACAUGCAAGUCGAACGCAUCGCAAGAUGAGUGGCAGACGGGUGAGUAACACGUGGGAAUCUACCCAACCCUACGGAAUAGCUCCGGGAAACUGGAAUUAAUACCGUAUACGCCCUUCGGGGGAAAGAUUUAUCGGGGAUGGAUGAGCCCGCGUUGGAUUAGCUAGUUGGUGGGGUAAAGGCCUACCAAGGCGACGAUCCAUAGCUGGUCUGAGAGGAUGAUCAGCCACAUUGGGACUGAGACACGGCCCAAACUCCUACGGGAGGCAGCAGUGGGGAAUAUUGGACAAUGGGCGCAAGCCUGAUCCAGCCAUGCCGCGUGAGUGAUGAAGGUCUUAGGAUUGUAAAGCUCUUUCACCGGAGAAGAUAAUGACGGUAUCCGGAGAAGAAGCCCCGGCUAACUUCGUGCCAGCAGCCGCGGUAAUACGAAGGGGGCUAGCGUUGUUCGGAAUUACUGGGCGUAAAGCGCACGUAGGCGGAUAUUUAAGUCAGGGGUGAAAUCCCAGAGCUCAACUCUGGAACUGCCUUUGAUACUGGGUAUCUUGAGUAUGGAAG
Molecule: ribosomal RNA, 598 nt
Filed under: uncultured bacterium
Lineage: Bacteria
Description: bacterial SSU rRNA
Rfam family: Bacterial small subunit ribosomal RNA
Source: RNAcentral